UUGCUUCGGCAGCACAUAUACUAAAAUCUGAACAAUGCAGAGAAGGUUAGCAUGGCCCCUGAGCAAGGACGACAGGCAAAUUCGUGAAGUGUUCCGUAUUUUU
This 103-nucleotide small nuclear RNA is filed under the name Dasypus novemcinctus (nine-banded armadillo). The record is from RNAcentral. Lineage: Eukaryota; Metazoa; Chordata; Mammalia; Cingulata; Dasypodidae.